Molecule: ribosomal RNA, 489 nt
Filed under: uncultured bacterium
Lineage: Bacteria
Description: partial 16S ribosomal RNA
Rfam family: Bacterial small subunit ribosomal RNA
Source: RNAcentral
UUGCACGCUGGCGGCAGGCCUAACACAUGCCCGUCGCACGGUAACAGGAAGAAGCUUGCUUCUUUGCUGACGAGUGGCGGACGGGUGAGUAAUGUCUGGGAAACUGCCUGAUGGAGGGGGAUAACUACUGGAAACGGUAGCUAAUACCGCAUAACGUCGCAAGACCAAAGAGGGGGACCUUCGGGCCUCUUGCCAUCGGAUGUGCCCAGAUGGGAUUAGCUAGUAGGUGGGGUAACGGCUCACCUAGGCGACGAUCCCUAGCUGGUCUGAGAGGAUGACCAGCCACACUGGAACUGAGACACGGUCCAGACUCCUACGGGAGGCAGCAGUGGGGAAUAUUGCACAAUGGGCGCAAGCCUGAUGCAGCCAUGCCGCGUGUAUGAAGAAGGCCUUCGGGUUGUAAAGUACUUUCAGCGGGGAGGAAGGGAGUAAAGUUAAUACCUUUGCUCAUUGACGUUACCCGCAGAAGAAGCACCGGCUAACUCCGUG